UGGUGGAGUGAUUUGUCUGGUUGAUUCCGUUAACGAACGAGACCUCGACCUGCUUACUAGUAUGGUUCAUCUUCGGAUGGAGUCAUUACUUCUUAGAGGGACUAUCGGUGUGUAGCCGAUGGAAGUUCGAGGCAAUAACA
RNAcentral lists this ribosomal RNA (140 nucleotides) under uncultured eukaryote. Its description in RNAcentral is "partial 18S ribosomal RNA". It matches the Rfam family "Eukaryotic small subunit ribosomal RNA", at positions 1299 to 1458 of the family's 1831-position model. The record is from RNAcentral.